Molecule: ribosomal RNA, 117 nt
Organism: Clonorchis sinensis
Lineage: Eukaryota; Metazoa; Platyhelminthes; Trematoda; Opisthorchiida; Opisthorchiidae
Source: Rfam
GGCCGUGACGAUACUAUGUUGGAACCACCAGUUCUUGUCUGAUCACCGAGGUUGAGCAAUGUUGGGCCCGGUUAGCACUGCAUGGGUGAUCGUCUGAAAAUACCGGUCGUUCACUCU